GCUGCGCCGCGCCGCGCCGCGCGCGCCGGGGGUCCCGCCGGAACCCCCGGACCACGCCCCCACCCCGUCGGCGCCGGGGCUGGGGGAUCCGGAGAGUCAGGCCGGGCGGGCGGGAGCGGCCGGGGAGCCUGCCCCUCAUUCGAGCUCAUUCCCUCCGAGCCUGGGAGCCCCUUCCUGCGCCCUUGUGGGCUCCACCUUUCCCGGCUCAAGAGGACUUGGAGCCGCUUAUCUCCUGGAACCUCUUGGGAGCCCAGGCUUUGCAGACCCCCAGCCCACGACCCUUGGCCGAGCUGGGAUAGGGGUCGCAGCCUGCCGCCCACCCUUGACUGUCCCUGCCCAGAACGGUUCCAAGCCCAUCCGCUACCCGCUUUGGGAUCUCCCGGACCCAGCCAGCACGCGCUCGUCUUCUCCCCAGCCGUCUCGUCCCCAGCCAGCCCUGGUACACGUGGCGGAGGCUUCCUGAGGACCGGCCACUGAAGGCCGGGACUGAUCCUGGGGAGUGGGGCCAGGGAUCGUUGGGGCGCCUUGGAGGCGGUGGGGUUCCAUGUCCUUUGGCGCAGGCAGCAGGGGCCAGGGGACUGGUCACCAGAGUGGGGGCCCUCAGGGCCAGUCGCCAGCCCUCUCAGCGCCGCCUUUCACCCAGACCUGCUCAGCCUAUUACUGCACAGUGGCCACUUCUCCCCAAGGACAGCUGUCCCCAAGGCUCCUGGGGAAGCUGGAGCUGCAGCAGAGGCGUUUUCCCCAUAGGUUCUGGAGGAGGGGGAGAUAGGAGGAUGAGGACCUCGGCUGCCUGAGAAACUCCACUCUGGCCGAGCUCUCCCGGCUGGUGGAGCUGCCCUGGGUGGAAUCCCAGCAUUUGUUUCCCAGACAUCUGUUUUGGAUACCUUGUUUUUUUCCUCUUUGAAAUGGGGUCAGUGAUUUCUUUCUUAUUAGUGACUUGUUGGGAGGCUUAUGUGGGGUAACUCAUUGGCUUGCCUAGCACAGGGCUGGCAUAGGAGAGGGACUGAUAGUUGGGGUGACGGUUCAGGUGGGUCGCCUCUCGAUGUCCAGAAGACCUUGAGCACCGCGUCCGCCUGCACUUACUUUCGUGCCCUUUAGAGUUUCAUCACCGUGUUCUUCAUGCUCCCUUGAGAGCCGGAGGCCCUGAGAGCAGUGGCCAGGUGUCCUUUAACUCCAUGUCUCCAGGGCCCCACCCAUGCUGGGCACAGGGAGGAGCUGGGGAGGCCUGCCGGGUGACUGGUCCUGAGCCAAGUCCCAAGGUCCGAGUCCCUCCCUUGUGCCAGGCCUGGAGCCAGCUGGGCACAGGGGCGAUUGGGGUGAUGUGAAAGUGAAUCAGACUCUCUAGCCUCCGACCAGUGCGGGGUUAAGUCCUGGAAAGUCUCCUUGUCCCACCAGGCCUGGACUCUGGUAGGAGGAAUGGCCAGGGAGGAGUCUUCCUGUUCCCUCCCUGUUGCGGCCACCUCCUGGGGCGCUUCAACAGUCCUACCAUUCAGGACCUCCUGUUGAGGCCCUUCGAGGGGCCUUGGUGGGGUGUACCGUGCGUUAGGUGGGGUUUUUCCUCUCCUCAUCCCCAGUGCUGGGCCUGCCUGUCUUCCUGUCUCCUGGGCUGAGAAUUGCCAGCCCACCCACUGUCCCCUGGCGUGUUACAGGGGAGGGGACUGAGACAACAGGUGAUGUGUCCUUUACUGGAGAGAGUUGGAUUUGUUUUCUGGAUAUCAGGCUGGAUGGAAGGUGUGCCCACUCAGAGCCUGCUAGCCUCUCUCUUCUCAACACUUCAGUGCUAUUUAUAACCCUCUUUAAAUGCCUCAAAUUCCUGGUUCAGGCUCACCUGUGGGGAGUUCCUAAUGUGGAGGUGGGGGGGGGGUUGGAAGUGGGCUGCCGGGAAUCCUCCAGCCUCCUCCAGAGGAAGUGAGCUGCCUUAGAAUCCCGGUUGGAGGGGAAUGAGGGCAUGUCUUUGCCACCUCCAGUCGUCCAUGCACCUUCCUCACCCCACCCAAGGAGCUGGAGGUUCUCUCAAGCCUGCAAUUAAAAUUGCAGAGCCCUCCCUACCUGAGACCUUAUUCUCUGCCCCAGUAAAAAUGUCAGAGUUAGGAACAUCCCUUGCCACAGUGCUCUGAGCUCCCAGGCCUGCUAGGGCUCUGAGGUUCGACCUGCAGUUUCAUGCCCACCCCGAGCAGGUGAGCAGGUGAAUGCCAGCCUGUGUGCAAGUCCUGGCAAAGGUCAGGCGUGCUCCUGGCCACGGUGCUGUUUUGCUGCCACGGCACCUUUCAUCCUGGGAUUUCAAAGCCCCUGGCAAGCAGAGGCUUGUUUCCACACUGGGAGCCCUGUGGGGCUGGUGGGAGGGUGACUCCCUCCUCCUUAUAUGAGGGAGCAGGCGGAGAGGAAGAAGCACUGGCCCGGGAGCAGGGAGGCCUGAGGAUCCUUGGGCAGGCCACUUUUCCUCUCCCUGAGUCUGGGUUUCCCUUGUUGUGAACCCAAGUGGGUGGGUUACUCAAUGGCUGAAGUUACUUUCAGCUCUGAGGGCCUAACAAUCCUAAAUUUUCCCUCCAAAUCUCCCCCAGACUGAAGCGAGCUCAAGGUUCCAGUACAACCCCUGCAAACAUGGACUAACAUCUUUUUGUUUUGUUUUGUUUUGAGACGGGGUCUUGCUCUGUCACCCAGGCUGGAGUGCAGUGACAUCGUCAUAGCUAACUGCAGCCUCAACCUCCUGGGCUCAAGCAAUCCUCCCACCUCAGCCUCCCAAGUAGCUGGGACUAUAGCUUUGCACCACCAUGCCUAGCUCUGUGUGUGUGUGUGUGUGUGUGUGUGUGAGAGAGAGAGAGAGAGAGAGAGAGACAGAGAGAGAGACAGGGUCUUUCUGUGUUUCCCAGGCUGGUCUUGAACUCCUGGGUUCAAGCAAUCCUUUGGGAUCAAGCAAGCCUCCUUUGGGAGCCUUGGCCUCCCAAAGUGCUAGGAUUACAGUUGGGAGCUUCCUGUCCCUGAAGUAACAUCUUUUUUAUUUUAUUUUAUUUUUUUGAGACAGAGUCUGGCUCUCUCUCCCAGGCUGGAGUGCAGUGGCACUGGCACAGUCUCGGCCUGCUGCAACCUCCACCUCCUGGGUUCAAGCAAUUCUCCUGCCUCAGUCCCCUGUUACAGGUACACACCACCAUGCCUGGCUAAUUUUUGUAUUUUUAGUAGAGAUGGGGGUUUCACCAUAUUGGUCAGGCUGGUCUCAAACUCCUGACCUCAGGUGAUCCACCUACCUCACCCUCCCAAAGUGCCAGCAUUACAGGGUGAGCCACCACACCCAGCCAAAAAUAACAGGUUUAUUGAGGCAUAAUUUGCCUACCAUACAAUUCACUCACCUAAAGUGUACAUUUCCAUGGUUUUUAGUAUAUUCACAGAAUUGUGCAGCCAUUGCCACCUGUGGGGAGUUAGUGUUUUCAUCAGCCCUGAAAGAAAUCCCCUGCUCUUUCUUUAGUAGCGCUCCUGUUUCUUCCCAGUCCUUCCCAACUCUAGGCACCCACCGAACAUUUUGUCUAAUUGCAAAAGUAAUGUGUGCACAGGCCAGGGGGGUAGCUCACGCCUUAAUCUCAGCACUUUGGGAGGCCGAAGAGGGUGGAUUGCUUGAGCUCGGGAGUUCAAGACCAGCCUGGGCAACAUGGCAAAACCCCGUCUCUAGUAAAAAUACAAAAAAUUAGCUGGGCAUGGUGGUGUGCGCCUGGGCUUCCAGCUACGUGGGAGGCUGAGUUGGAAGGAUUGCCUGAGCAAAAGUAAUGCACAUACAAACAAUGUAGGAGGAUAAAGUAAAAAACGAAAGCACCCUCCAUCUUUCUUCCUUGAAUCCCACUCCCCAGAAGUAAUCACUUAAGUGUGGUGUGUCACUGUUUCCAAACCUACCUCUCUCUGUACAUGCUCACAGUACUUUGGUUUAUAAAAAGAGUUUUGUUUUUUUUUUUUUGAGACAGAGUCUCACUCUGUUGCUCAGGCUGUAGGGCAGUGGCACCAUGUUGGCUCACAGCAACCUCUGCCUCCCAGGUUCAAGUGCUUCUCCUGCCCCAGCCUCCUAAGUAGCUGGGAUUACAGGCAUGCUCUACCAUGCCAGGCUAAUUUUUGUAUUUUUAAUUGAGACUGGAUUUCACCAUGUUGGCCAGGCUGGUCUCAAACUUCUGACCUUGUGAUCCGCCCACUUCAGCCUCCUAAAGUUCUGGGAUUACAGGCGUGAGCCACCACACCCAGCCUAUAAAAAAUAGAUCUUAUUCUAUGCUUCUGUGGUUUGAUUUUUUUCACUUGGUAAAUUGGGGGCCCUCUUUCUGUGUCAGAACACACAGGACUACCUCGGUCUUUUCUUGAUGAGUUCAUUCCUGUGCAUGGAUGGUUCGUUUACCCAGCCCCCUGUGAGUGGGCAUUUGGGUUGUUUCCAGUGUUUUGCUAGUAUUCACGGUGCUGCUUGAACCUCCUAUAAUAUUCCAUAUAGGAGAGGCCCUGAAAUAGAACUCCUGGGUCACCUUUUUUUUUAUUAUUUUUUGAGACGGAGUCUAGCUCUGAUUGCCCGGGCUGGAGUGCAGUGGUGCUAUGUUGGCUCACUGCAACCUCUGCCUCCUGCAUUCAAGCAAUUCUCCUGUCUCAGCCUCCCGAGUAGCUGGGACUACAUGCGCCUGCUUCCAUGCCCAGCUAAUUUUUGUAUUUUUAGUAGAGAUGGGGUUUCACCAUAUUGGUCAGGCUGGUCUUGAACUCCUGACCUCAGGUAAUCCACCUGCCUUGGCCUCCCAAAGUGCUGGGAUUACAGGCAUGAGCCGCUAUGCCCAGCCUGGGUAACCUUUUGGUAGAUGGACACAUGGCCUUUAACAAGGCAGCAGGUGUUUGACACUCCUGCCAAGGGGACCUUAGCACUGAGCAUUUUCAUCCUUUUGACAACCAGAUAUGAGAAGAAGGGUGUCUCACUUAUUUAUUGAGCAAAACAAAUAAUGCCUUUUGCCAAAGUGAUUUUAAAAACCUACCUCUCUGCUGGGCGUGGUAACUCAUGGCUGUAAUCCCAGGACUUUGGGAGACUGAGGCAGGCAGAGCACCUGAGGUCAAGAGUUUGAGACCAGCCUGGCCAACAUGAUGAAACCUCAUCUCUACUAAAAAAUUAGCCGGGCAUGGUGGUGGAUGCCUGUAGUCCCAGCUACAUGGGAGGCUGAGGCACAAGAAUCGCUUAAACCUGGGAGGCAGAGGUUGCAGUGAGAUGGGAUCGUGCCAUUGCACUCCAACCUGGGCGACAGAGUGACCAUUGCACUCCAACCUGGGUGACAGAGUGAGACUGUCUUGGAAAAAAAAAAAAAAAGUCUACCUCUCAACAUUGGGGAAGUGGCUGUAGGUGCCAGGAGUGAAGGGGUGGAGGGCUUCUGCCUUCUGCCACCACUCGCCCUGCUGCAUGGCUUCCUCAUUACUCUCCUGGACUUUGCAGAGAGGCCAGGCUGGCCAGAAGCAGUGUCUGGGCCUGGGCGGCUGCCCUCAGCCAAGGUCCAGGUCAGACCGUUGGGAUAGAGCAUCUGGGGAUGCUGCUGUCUCUGUUGGGUCUUACAUAACAUGCUUUUGUUGGCUUUGACCCUGCCUUCCCCUCUUCCAGUCCCCCAGACUCUGUUCCUUUCUCACUGCUGUGGCCUGAGUGCUGGCCUUGCCUACUGGGAGCUGCCCCAGCCUCCUCGGAGCCUCUAGUCCUUCCCACACACGCACACUGCCAAAGAGACCUUUCUAAACCCAAGCUGGGUCACGUUUGCCCUCCCUGUUGCCUGAGGAUCGAAGCAGAAAAACAGGAAUAGGAACCACUCAGCCUCCAUCCUGCGAUAACCACUUCAUCCUCUGGGAGUACUUCCCGUUUGCGUCGAUGGUUCGACUUUGCCGGACCGUGACUCAAGUUUGUGUCUUGCUGCUUUCACCACAUGAUUUAUGAUAAACAUGUCUCCCAGGUCAUUAAAACCUCCUUGGAAGCAUCCCCAAAGGCUGCAUUUUAUUCCAUCUGAGGACAGAGAGGGACAUUUUCUCAGCUUUUUCCCUAAUGCUGGACAUUAGGUUGUUUCUCACGUGUUGGUUUUUAGGGGCAAACAGAGCCACUGUGUGUGUUUUGUUUUUGGCUCUGAUCAACUGCCCUGCCGAAGGCUAAUUCAUGUCCCCGCCCAACUCUUCCUCUACUCUGCUUCCACCAACCUGGGUGUUUAGAGGGAAGCUCCUUCCUGACAUCUCUGAGCAUCGUUUGGGGGCUAGUGGGCUUGAAGGGGCUGCCUGUGAGCUGGGGACAGGACUGAUGACCAUGGGCUCUGGGCGUAUAGCCAUGUAGUCUAGCCUGUGAUGUGUAGGGAUGGAUGUAUUUUCUGUCUGAAGACAUGGUUGAUGGAACAGGGAGGGGCAGUCAUCAGGCUCUGAGUGAUAACUGUAGGAUUAGCAGCAGUUUAACUGAGCACUUGCUAUGUGCCAGAUCUUCCUUUGUCUGUAUUGUCUCAUUGAAUCCGCACGUCAGUGGUAGGCCUGAGCCCGGUAGUCCAAGGCCUUAGCUAUUUAAACUAAAUGCCCUUGUCAUCUGUGGUGCCUAGAUUGGGCAGGGGGACACUGUGAAAAAGGCCUCCAAGAGAGGCAGGCUUUUGGAAGCCAGGAGAGGAAGUGGGAGGAGGAGCCAAGUGGAAACAGAGUGGCUGUGUCAGGCUCCUAUAGGUUGCACAAAUCUAUCCCACCCAUCAUUACUCAGUCUGAGACUCAUGGCCUCUCUGACCAGCCACAUUCUCCUUCCCUGCGCCCCCCUCCUCGUUUGCCGCGGGCAGAGCUCAUGACUCACUCCACCCGGGACUCCUGCAAGCAUCAUCCUGCGGUUGCAGAAAUUCCUGCACUGCUUUUUCCUUCCCUGCCCCACCCCCAUCCACUUCUCUGCCAGAGGAAGAAUGGUAUUCUGCAGAUGCUGCUGGGCAGAAGUUUAAGGAAGGAGUCCAGGCGGAUGCCUAGGUUUAAAACCCUUGAGGGUGGAGCAAAGCCAUUCUCUUCUCCUGGUAGAAUCUUAGGGCCUGAGUCAUGGAAGACUACAAUCUUUUGAUCUCACAAAUUUUUAAAACUAGAAGAACAGGAAGUAUCUACCUCCUGGGACUGGUCCCGUUUUUGGAGCAAUGCUGAUUCUGGCCCACGAAGGUGAAGGGGCCUGCCUGGUUAUGUAGUGGAUGGUAAGCUUGAAGAAGCAGGGAGCCCAGAGAUUUUGGGGCAAGGCUUUGCAGUCAGACUGCUUGGGUUCGAGUCCUGGCUCUGACACUGGAUGGACAGGUGUUUGGGGACAAGUCAGUCACCCUCUCUGAGCCUUAGAGCCCACAUAUAAGAGGAUGUUAGUUCUGGUAUCUUAAGGUGUGAGGAUCAAGUACCUAGUCGGUGCAGCACAGUGUGGGUGGGAGGUGACAAUACAUGAGUGGCAGCUGUUAUGAUUGUUCAUUGCACUAACUUGGCACCCAGGGAGAUGUGCCAGGUCUGUCCUGUGGCCUCAUGCACCCCCUGCUCCCUGCCAUGUGCUCCAGGAAGUCGACAUGACCCACUCCCCUCCUAGGCAGCCCUGAAUAUGAGAACCUUCUUUCCCUCCAAGGUCAGAGGAGCACCAGCUUGUGGGCCUGGACACCUGGGGUAUUUAGUGUGUACUUGGAGGCUGGUGGGAUAGAGAUGUGGUUACAGCAACGUCAGUCCUUCAGCAGCAACAUCCGUUCUAUGCCUGGGAUUUGGAAGUACACAGAGGAAAAGGGUAAAAAGAUGGAUGGGAACAUGCUCCCUCCCUGCCUAGCUGUGUGUUAAGAACUAGACUUGUAAGCCUUAAGCCUGGUCCCAUUGACCAUCUGCUGUGUGACUCUGGACCAAUGACUAUACCUCUCUGUGGCUUUUCUCCCCGUCUGUGACCUCAAUACCAGUAUCUACUCUUGGGAAUUCUCUGCCUCUGAAAACCCUUGGUAGGGGUCUCAAGAUGCCUUCCAAAGGCAGGGCUGGGCCUCUAUGUAGACAGAGAGGUGUAUGCCCAUGAGACCAUCAAGGGGUGUGAUGAGCUCUGGCCCCCGACACACGGAGUCCUUUUUUCUUGUAUUAAUUCAGUUGAUAGUUAUUGAACACCUACUAUGUGCGCAGCACUGUGCUGGGCAGGAGGGACACGCAGAUGCAUACUCACAUGGUGCCUGCCUGUGGGUGCUUCCUGGCUGACUGUCCCUCCUCAGGGCAGGCAAUGUUCCCAAAGGGAAAGGCCUUCCUCGGGAAGGUGUAAGAGAGACUGGCCUGGGGUAGGCCAGCUUGCUGGGACUCAGGAUGGGAGGUAAAGGGAAGAACCACAGGGCUGGCCUUGGUGAGGCGGGACCUUUGUCCUGAGGGCCCCAGGGAGGCCUUGGAGGCAUUUUCAGGCAGAAGUGGCACCAGUGGGUCAGCUUGCAUGAGCGAUGUGAACCCCAUGGUAGGAGGCACUAGACCUGUGGGGGUAGGGGUCAGGUGCAGUGAGGGACAUGUGUGUACAGGGGCGUGGCAUGGCCAGGCCUCAAUGAUGGUGCUGUGCAGGGCUGGGGCGAGCUGAUGUCCAUGAUUCUUGGCCUACAGGAAAACCUGUAUGGAUUCUGUAGGUUGUUUUAUUAAGGCAGACCUCCAACCACUGGUCCUGUAGCGUCUGCUCCCACUCCUCCAGUGACAGGAAACUCAUUCCCUUCCCAGGCAGCCCUCAAAACGAGAACUUUCUUUUCCUUCAAGGGCAGAGCAGGAGCCUGGCCAGAUGCGGUGACUCACAUCUGUAUCCCAGCACUUUGGGAGGUCAAGGUGGGCGGAUCACAAGGUCAGGCGUUCGAGACCAGCCAGGCCAAUAUGGUGAAACCCCAUCUCUACCAAAAAUACAAAUAUUAGCUGAGGGUGGUGGUGCAUGCCUGUAGUCCCAGCUACUUGGGAGGCUGAGGCAGGAGAAUCGCUUGAACCUGGAAGGUGGAAGUUGCAGUGAGCAUCCAACUACACUCCAGCCUGAGUGACAGAGCUCAAAUUUAAAAAAAGAAAGAAAGAGGCUGGGCGCGGUGGCUCACACCUGUAAUCUCAGCACUUUGGGAAGCCGAGGUGGGUGGAUCCCGAGGUCAAGAGAUCGAGACCAUCCUGGUCAACAUGGUGAAACCCUGUCUCUGCUAAAAAUACAAAAAAUUAGCUGGGCAUGGUGGCGCGUGCCUGUACUCCCAGCUACUCAGGAGGCUGAGGCAGGAGAAUUGCCUGAACCCAGGAGGCGGAGGUUGUGGUAAGCCGAGAUCGCGCCAUUGCACUCCAGCCUGGGUAACAAGAGCGAAACUCCGUCUCAAAAAAAAAAAAGAAAGAAAGAACGAAGGAAAGAAAGGAGGGAGGGAGGGAGGGAGGGAGGGAGGGAGGAAGGAAGGAAGGAAGGAAGGAAGGAAGGAAGGAAGGAAGGAAAGCAAGGAGGGAGGGAGGGAGGCUGGGAGUCAGAGAGCCUGGUUUUGAGAUGCUAUCAGGACUGCCCUGUCGUUUGGCAGCUGCCUUCCCUUCUCUGGACCUCAAAUUCCUCAUCUGUAAAGUGGGCACAACAGCAUCCCAGACCCCCGAGGUGGUUGUGCAGGGUUGAUGAGAUGAUGUGAAGAGCUUUUCACACUCAGGGAACGUCAGCUCCUGGUUCAUCCGCUGUUACUGUUAUGUUAUGUUUCACACAGGACAUUGGCCAAGGGAGGCCCUUCUCUUGCAGAUCAGAAGUGCCAGGUGUGGGCCAGGGUGCUGGGUGGAGGCCCAGGGGGUAACUAGGCAUCCAGGAGGGGAGGAAGAAUAAAGUGUGGUUUGCAAAGUGCAGACACUUCCCCACCCAACCAUCUGUGGCCAAGCCAAUUGCAACUGCUGUCUGUCUUUCCCAUGCUGAGCAGAGCUAUUUGUGUCCAGCCAAGUUUGUGAAGCUUAGCACCUUCUCGAAGAGAAGUCUGUUGGGAAGAAGCCACCCACCCACCCGUGCUCCACUCACCUCUGAUUUACUCCACCUGCCAGGAGCCACUGAUGGGUGUAGGCUCCCCAGGAUGGGUGCCAGGUGACCUUUGGCAAGUCCUUCCUUCUCUCUAUGCCUCCUCCUCACUUUGCCUAUCUGUGCAAUGGCAUGCUCUUCCAGCUCUGACCUCUUGGGCACCUGUGGGCCCUGGGCUGCACUGAAGGCAACAGAGCAGGUGCAGAUUUCAGGAGGCGAUCUUGCUGUUGAAGGAAGAGCUUGCUCUGAAAGCUGUCCUGUGCCUGGGCCUGAGCUGGGAACUGGGGAUGAAGCAGUGACAUGAGCCCUGAUCUCAUGGAGCUCGUGCCAGCUAAGAAGGUUCCAUCAAGCUGGAUGUGCCGUGGCUCAUGUUAAAAAGCCCAUGGAUCUUUAUGUUUCCCAGAGUGCAUGUUGGUUUCAGUAUUCAGUCGGCCCAUCUCUAGAAGCAGCAUGUCUGGCCUUGACCGGGUGGCAGGAUGCUUCCAACACUGAAAGCUGUGUGGCCUUUGGCACUCAGCUCUCCUCCUCGCAGCUCCAGCUGUCACUGAGAUGUGACUGGUGCUCCCUGCCUUUGUGAUGGGUGCACUACACAGUUCCUGGCCUGUGGAGCAUUCUCAGUAAAUGGCAAUUGCGUUUUUUUUGUUUUGUUUUGUUUUGUUUUUUUUUUUAAUGGAGUCUCGCUCUGUCACUCAGGCUGGAGUGCAGUGGUGUGGUCUCAACUCACUGCAACCGCCGUGUCCUGGAGUCAAGCGAUUCUCCUGUCUCAGUCUCAUGAGUAGCUGAGACUACAGGUGCCAACCACUACACCUGGCUAAUGUUUGUGCUUUUAGUAGAGAUGAGGUUUCACCAUGUUGGUCAGGCUGGUCUCGAACUCCUGACCUUGUGAUCUGCCCACGUCGGCCUCCGAAAGUGCUGGGAUUACAGGAGUGAGCCACUGUGCCCGGCUGGCAAUUGCGUUUUAGCUGAGUUCUUAGGGGAGCUGUGUGCCAUUUGCCUGGCCUGUCAGAGAUUUAAGGGGUGAUUCAGGCAUCUAGAGGAGGAGGGAGCUGACAAUUGCUUCUGUUUUGCUUUUUGGUUUUGCUUUUUUUGAGAGCAGUGUUCUCUGGGAGGCGAAGGGAAGAAAAGAGAGCUGAGCUUGAGCUUUGGGAAGAGCAGGCCCUGGUGGGCUGGGGGAGGUGUCUCCCUGUCACCCCGCUGCACCUCCCACAGCCCCGCCUUGAUUUUGAGGUGCUGAUGGGAACUGUCUGCUUUCUUUUUCAGGCCCAGAACUUUCCUCCUCCUAGCCCACGAGGACCGUAUGAGAUCCUCUAACUAAUCCCCUCGUUUUUCUCAUGUCCGAGUACACUGAGGCCCAGGAAGAAGAAGGGACAUGCCUGUGCUCUCAGUGGCUGCAGAGCCUGGCCGGCACGCAGAGCCUUGACCCCAGCAUGAAGCUUUUCCCUCUGACUUCUUACUCCCAGCCCCCGGCACCCAUGCAGUGUGCCCCAGACGGCAGAAGAUGGUCAGGGAAGGAAUGAUUGGGCCGGGUGGGGCUGCAGAACUUAUAAUUAUGAGAACUGGGUAAACAAACAAGCUCUCCAGGAGAGAAGCAGGCCCUGUGCGGGCCUCACAGAUGGGCCUGUGUCUGAGGAGGCAGCGCAGGCCUGUCUACACACAGACAGUGAGGGGCUGUGUUAGACUGGAAAAGCCGAAGCCACACUCCCCUCCUACCCCCACUCCUAUAUUUCAGGCUGCCAGGAAAAGGGGAGGGGGAAAGGGGAGCCCUUCCUUCCAAAGGGGUGGGGGCCGACCCCUGAGGACUCGCCCAGGGUCAGCCCUCCUGGCCCAGCUUGGGAUAGUCACAGCUCACUACGUGACCUUGGUCCAGGGGCAUCUCUCCUCUGGGCCUCAGUUUCCCAUCUCUAGAGUGGAGGGGACCCCAUCUCUCAAGGAGGAUGGCAGGAUGGGGAAGAUUUGAGCCAACCAGUUGAAUACACUGAGCCCUUUCUCUCACCCUGACCCGAGGCCAAGUGGGAUCACAGAAACUCUUCAUUUCUCUCUGGCCAGAGGCAGGGGCCCUUCUCGGAGCAGAAGAGUGACUUUCUCAGUGACCUGAGAGUGGGCCUGGUCCUGGGAGGCCAAACCUCCAAUCCUGGCCCGGCUGUAGCAGGCUGCCCAGCUCAGCUUUCCUGUCUUCCUGCUGAGAUUGUGGCAGAAUCCCAGAGGAGCUGUUUCUGGUGCCUGCCCUGCAGGCUGGGGGCUGGGCGGCUUGCUCUGCCUGGAGGCCCCCAGGUGGGGUCUGGCAGACUUCCUGUGUGAUUCGGGCUGGGCCCCUGCCCUCCCUCCCCUCUUUCUGCAGUUCCCUGUGUGGCUUCUGGGAGUCCAGCUCUGUAGGUCGGAGGCCGGUUUAGCCUCAGACCUCUGUGGCCUUGGGUGACUCCUACCUCUCCUGCAGGCCUCAGUUUCCCCUAUGGUUCAACAGAGGGGUUGGAUAAGAGCCUCUGGUAAUAGAGUGACCUUGCUAUUUACCAUAUGUCACCCUCCUUCAGAUUGACCCUUCCAGUCUAUCCUGUGCCCUCAAGGUCAAGUCCAGACCCUGAAAUGUCCUCACAGCCCAAGCCCUACAGCCAGGAGCCCCACACCUGGCAGGCUGAAUCAGGCUCUUCCUCCAGUCUCCCACAACCCCUUGGUUACCUGUGUGAACCUGUAGCCCUUCUUACAUGGUUGUGAUUCUUUUUUCUUUUUCUUUUUUGAGACAGAGUCUUGCUCCGUUACCUAGGCUGGAGUGCAGUAGUGCAAUCAUAGCUUACUGUAGCCUUGACCUCCCAGGCUCCCGAAAUCCUUCUGCCUCAGUCUCCCCAGUAGCUGAGACCCCAGGUGUACACCACCACACGGGACUAAUUUAUUUUUAUAUUUUGUACAGAUGAGUUUCCCUGUGUCACCCAGGCUGGUCUCAAACUCCUGAGCUAAGCAGUCUUCCUGCCUGGCCUCCCACAGUGCUGGGAUUACGCAGCUCAUGGUUGUGAUUCUAAUUCCUACCUAUGAUACGAAUACCUGAGGGCUCACUCUGGGCUCCCCUGAGGUGGACAGGUGGCUCACAGCUCAGACUUGCUCCACCAGCAACUGAACAAGUGCCCCUAGGUCAGGUGCCGGGACGCUUUAUACCUUAGUUUCAUUAGCUGUAAAAUGUGCAUGAUAAUACUUCUCUACUGGAUCUAUAAAUUAUGUGUGUAAAGCACAAGAAAUGCUUAGGAGUAAUAACUGUAAUGAACAUUUAUUAGUGCAAAUUGUUUUAGUCCCCUAGGAGGAAUGAAUGAAUGCAUGCAAGCAUGCCAUUGCAAAGUCCUACAUCCUGGGAGCACAGGGACCCCAAAGCUCUCUGGAUGAAGGGCCUGGUAGGUGCAAAAUGUGUGUGUGUGGGGGGGAGGGGGAGCUGUGGUGGUUACAGAGGGGCAGGCCAGAUGUAGGCGGGGCCUGGGAUGGUGACAUCCCCCCUGCCCUUGUGGAAGGAGUGGUUUGGGCCCCUCCGUGUCUCAGACCCGCAGGCACCAAGUGAGUGUGGCCAUCCACAGCUUCCUUCCUCCCGCCUAUAUUCCUCAAAGCGUGACUCACUGGCUUCCAGCCCUUCAUUCUUGUCCUUGAGCCCUGAGGGUGAGGCGGGUAGAGAGUCUUUCUUGGAUGGGCCAGCCCUCUCUCUGGGUUCCUCUCUGUUCCUGGCCCUUCUGCAGCUCCUAAGUGUGACAGGCAAGAUGGAGGGGUGGGGGUACGGUGGGGGGGACAACUGGGCCCUGGUCCUGGCAGCCCCACUGACCCCCUGUGUGUCAGGCCUGGGGUAGGCACCCACUCAGGGCCCACCCAGGGCUUGGAUCUGAGCUGGUGUGACUGAAACAGCCCAGUCAAACUCGCCCAGGUCCUGCCCUGGCAGACUCUUGGCUAAGCAGGAGACACACCAAACACCACUCAGUCAUUUAUUAAAAUCAUUACCGGAGGGCAAAUUGCUAUAAAGAAAUGGCCACUCUUCCUUGGGAGCUCAUGUGUCCUGGGAUCUCCCCAGCAGUACCUGUGGUUUGCUCUCCCAUCACAGAAGAGGACACACAGCCCACUGAAUGGGUGGGGGAGCAGGCUCCGAUCUGGGGCAAGUCCCAUCCCCAGCUGGGCCUCAGGAUCUUGUCGCCCGUCUUAGAGGUGUGCUGUUCAAGUGAUAUGUCCACCUUGGUCUCCCAGAGUGCUGGGAUUACAGGCAUGGGCUGCCGCUCCCUGCCGACAUGUGCUGUUCAGGAGGCCUGGGGUCUGCCACUGGCCCCCCAUGGUUCUGGGUGGGUGGGCUGGCAUCGGGCUUUAGCCUGGGGACUAUGGAACUGCAGUGAAAACUGGGUUUGUCAUCCUGAAAUCCCUCCUUUAUGUGUCCCUAGAUAGAAAUAUGUGUGUCCCAGAAACUACUGUGACUAAAGUAUUGGGACCUUCUAAAGGCAAGAAAUGGGGGCUGGUGAGGGUCUCAUCCCCUCCCCUCUCCCUCCACCAAUACAUGGGACAUCAGAAAGGUGGCCCAAAGCUCUGGGAGAAACCUACCGGGAUAUUUCACACCUAGAACGUACCCCAUUAAGUAACAAAAUAGUUACAUUAUAGCAUGGGGGGGUAUGGAAUGGAAAUAGUGUAUUAAUAGGCAUUGUUCAAUGGCAUAAUAUGUAGCCAUUACAAGUGAUGAUUCCUUUUUGUAUGUUUGGAAGGGUGUAUGUUUGUAUUGGCAUAGAACAAAAUAAGGAAAGAAAUUCACCAAAAUAUAAAUAGAGAUUAUUUUGGGGUCGCAGGAUAAUGGAUUAUUUAAACUUUUUAAAUCUCUCCUGAUUUUUUUUUUUUUUUUAACAGUAAGUAUGUUAAAUCAAAAAGAAUAACCUGGUUGGGCACUGUGGCCUGUAAUCCUAACACUUUGGGAGGCUGAGGUGGGCGGAUCACCUGAGGUCAGGAGUUUGAGACCAGCCUGGCAACAUGGUGAAACCCCAUCUCUACUAAAAAUACAAAAAUUAGCCCUGGUAUGGUGGCACAUGCCUGUGGUCCCAGCUACUCGGGAGGCUGAAGCAGGAUGAUUGCUUGAACUCAGGAGGCAAAGGUUGCAGUGAGUCAAGUGUCAGAGCAAGACCCUGCCUCAAAAAAAAGAAGAAUAAUAACUCUAUUGACAGUAUUUAGUGGAACAAUUUGAUUCCUGUCUGACUUCAGAAUCUAAGCCAUGCUGGCCUGACCAGAGCCCCAAGGGGGUUGCAAGCACAGAGAGGGGAAGAGGGCAGAGAAAAUUCUGGAAGAGAGGUGUUUGAGCUGAAUCUUGGAGAGCAGGAGGGAUUUUAUCCAGCAGAGUUGGGGUAAGGGUGACAAGGGGGCAUGGCCUAGCAUAGACCCUUGCUUAUUCAAGGCAGGGAGCUGAGCGCAGCCUUGAACGCCAGGCAGAGGGCUGGGAGUGGGGAGUGCUUCUCAUAAACACUUGUUAGCUGGACUUUAGAAUGAGGACUUAAGUUCUGCAACAAGGGCAAGAGAGUAACAAACUCGUGUUAGGCUCUUUCUAUGUGGCCAGCCUGUGAGCCCCCAAUGGCUGUGAGCAGAUGAGGUUGCAAUAGUUUAGCCCAGAGAUGGCAGAUGGAUUCCACAAAUACUGAGUCUCUCUCUGUGAUCAGUGCUGAAGGCUGAGUGUGGGUGGGGGCAUUGGGAUGGUGAGGAGUGGUUGGGUCCUGUCCCACUGGGAAAGCCUAUGACCCUUCAGACCUCCAGCCUGGAGGUGUCCCUGCUAAUUAAAAAAUAAAAAGCCAGGCAUGGUGGUACAAGCCUAUAGUCCCAGCUAUAUGGGAGGCUGAGGUGGGAGGAUUGCUUGAGCCUGGGAGGUUGAGGCUGCAGUCAGCUGGAUCAUGCCACUGUUCUGCAGCCUGGGCAACGGAGCAAGACAGGCCUUCAGGCCAGACAGAGCUCCAGGUUCCUGGGGUAAUGUGCAUGGAAUGCUGGUACCUGCCAUAGAACUUGGGUGGUCAGAGGCAUGUGCUACACGAGGCUGAGCACAAGGACCCCUUUCUGCAGUGCUUAGGGCUUCCCCUCUGCCUGUUUCCAUGAUGACCUCAUGGAGGUCAUCAAGCUCUCUGCCUCUCCUUACCCAUUUGUAGUGUGGAGGUGGUUGCAGAUACCUUCAAGAGAGUUGUUGUGAAUUUUACGUGGGGGCCACCCUGGUACCUGGCAUACAGCAAACGCUCAGGAAAAGAGUUUCUGUCCUCGGGGUUCAGUACCCAGCCAGGGGACUUCUGCCGUCCUGGAGGAGUCUCAGCAGUCUGAACUUGAUGGACAGGAUGGUCCAAGAUCAGGUUGCUGGGUGGUGAGCUCUUACCUCCCCCUCAGACCCUCUUUGGCUCCCAUCUGCCAGCAUCUGCCAAAGGUCAGGUUCUCACAGACCUGGAGGCUUGACCUUUCAACUGUGAGCUUUCCCAGUCUUCCCCUUUUGUCAUCCCCCCCCUCCGUUUAUUAUUGUUGUUGUUACAUAAGCAAUAUCUAGUAGUCAAAGAAAAUUGGAAAAUACAGUUAAGUAAUAGGAAGAAAAUGAAAAUCACCAAUAAUCCUACCAACCAGAAAGGACUUUCAGGCACUUUCCUGAUACAUAAUUUGUUUUUCUACCUUAAUAGUGGGUGGUGGGCCUCCACAUACCUGUCAUCCUCCUUGUUGACUAGAUACAGAAUAUUUCGUUAUGGCUGGGCAAGGUGGCUCAUGCCUGUAAUCCCAGCACUUUGGGAGGCCGAGACAGGCAGAUCACCUGAGGUCAGGAGUUUGAGAACAGCCUGGCCAACGUGGUAAAACCCUGUCUACUAAAAUUGCAAAAAUUAACUGGGCAUGGUGGUGUGCGCACCUGUAAUCCCAGCUAUUUGGGAGGCUGAAGCAGGAGAAUCGCUUGAACCUGGGAGGCAGAGGUUACAGUGAGCCCAGAUCACAUCACUGCACUCCAGCCGGAGGGAGGGAGGGAAGGAGGGAGUGCAGUGGUGUGAUCUCUGCUCGCUGCAACCUCUGCCUCCUGGGUUCUGUUGAUUUUCCUGCCUCAGCCUUCCAAGUAGCUGAGACUACAGCAUGUGCUACCACAUCUGACUGAUUUUGUCAUUUAUUUAUUUAUUUAUUGAUGGAGCUUUGCUCUUUCACCCAGGCUGGACUGCAGUGGUGCAAUCUCCACUCACUCUAACCUCUGCCUCCCAUGUUCUAGCAAUUCUCAUGCCUCAGCCUCCCAAGUAGCUGGGAUUACAGGCGCCCACCACCACACCCAGCUAAUUUUUGUAUUUCUAGUAGAGACGGGGUUUCACCAUGUUGGCCAGGCUGGUCUCGAAUUCCUGACCUCAGGGGAUCCGCCUGCCUUGGUCUCCCAAAGUGCUGGGAUGACAGGCAUGAGCCACAGUGCCCGGCCAAUUUUGUAUUUUUUAGUUAAGACCAGGUUUCACCAUGUUGGCCAGGCUGGUCUCAAACAUCUGACCUCGUGAUCCACCUACCUCAGCCUCCCAAAGUGUUGGGAUUACAGGUGUAAUCGAACCUGGUUUGAAGUCUUUUUUUUUUUUUAAAAAGCCAUCCCGUCUGUCCUUUGUGGGGCAGGGAUCGCUGGCUUCCCUUUUUCUAAUGGGGACACAGAAGCAGAGUGACCAUGUGCCCCAGCGGAGUAACUGGCAGACUCUGGCCUUUCAUCGGCCCAGCACAGAGGGGCCAGAGGGGCUUGAAGUGCAGGAUCUGCCAGCUCUGGAUUCCCGGCUCUUUGCAGGUGAAGGAUCAGUUAACAGGAUCCAAGCAGGAAGAGGACAUGGAGAAUCUGAGCUUAGGUGACCACCUUAGUUUGCAUGACAGGGUGGUGACCUUUUCUGCUGCUUAUGUGUGACCUUGGCCUGGCCCAGCCCCAAAUCCAGCCCUACCUUUGUGGGAAGGAUGCUGCCUCUUGGGCCAUGCUGGGGUUGGAGAGACCCUGGUUUAUAUGGCCCUUGGGGCUGGGAAGGGUCUGUCCUGAAGCUGGAGUUAACCUUUCUGGGAAAACCUCAUCCUCCUCUGCUGUCUUAACACACCAGGGAGACUGAACUGUGUGGUCUAAUGUCACACAGUCAGGGGAUGAAUAUGUAUGUACAAAGUGCUGUGCUAGAUGCUGUGCAUAUGUAAUGAGUGAGAUAGACAGGGUCCCUGCUGUCCUGGGGCAAAUAGACACAGAACAAUGAAUUAUUGCUCUGGAGCCUAAAGACACCUGCAGCUAGUGACCUGAGGGUGGGGCAAGCCCUGCGCCUGCUGGCCGAGCUCAGAGCACAGACCAAGGGAGUCUUGUUAUUUGAAUAAACUUUCGUUUUUCUAUCCGCGUAAAGGGUCCCUGGCAUUCCAGCCUGGGAUUGGGUUUCCUCUGGCCCAGCGGCAAGCACAUGAGUGGAUUUUCAUAUUGGCUCAUCUUUCUCAUUCUCUGCUCCCCCUUCUUUCCCUCCCUGGCUUUGAGAAGGCAGAAUCCCCCCUCCUCAAUCCCACUUGCUGAGAAGACCCUGCGAGCCAGAAGCUGCAGGCAGCAGCAUGCAUAUGUGUGUGCACAUGUGUAAGUGUGCAUGUGUGUGAGUACACGUGUGUGUGAGUAUACCUGUGUGUGGGCACCCACAUGUGUGAAUGUGCAUGUGUGUGCAUGCACCUGUGAGUGCAUGUGUGUGGACAUACAUGUGUGUGUGAGUGGUGGGUGAGCAGGGGUCACGGGGCAGCUUGGGAAGAACCUGACUUGGACUUAGUGAAAAGGGUGUUGGCCAUAGAGGUGCUUGGCUAAUGAAAUGUGUGGGGUUUGUGUAUCCAAGUUUAGUCCUUUUCCAUUGGGAUUGGGCCACAGUGACUGGCACAUUUUAGUUAUUAGUUCUUAUUGGAACAGAUGCUGGCAUUUAUUGGGUUCUUCCUGGCAGUCAGGCAGGGUGACAGGUGCACCUCACACAUUGUUAGUCCUCAUGACAACUCUUGGAGUGGGUACUCUUUGACCCUCCAGCCUCUGCUUGUACACCUCCAGUGAUGAGGCACUCCCUGCCUCCCAGGGUCCCCUACCCUAUUCUGGGCAUCUGAGGCAGUUAGAAAGCCCUUGCUGGGAUCCUGUCUGUCUCCUGUGGAUAACUUGAGGAUGGGCUCUGUUUGGCCAGGUAUGACUACAGCUGACCUUCCCCAGCAUCUGUUUUUCAGGGAAUUAUCCAACUCUAAGGUUUGGGGAGAGGAGCAAAGCCCUCCCUCCUUUCCCUGAGCAGCCCCUACCUGGUACUCAGCCUGUCACAUCUUCAUUCAUCACAUACCAAGCAAGUUUGAAACGUAAUGUUGAAACCCCAGAGGUACUUUCAUUAGCAUCAAUCCGGACAUCUUAGUCAAUGCAAUAAGACAAGAAAAAAAAAAAAGAGAGAAGUACAAAUAUAAGACAGCAGGAAAGCCCUCAUGGAGUUCAGCAAUUGUCAACAACAAAGCAUUUUUGGUCUUGGGACAUCUCCAUCCCCUGAGGCUGCCUACAGGAAGCAGAGUCCUGGAGGAACGAGGAAAUUGCCCAGGGCCACAUAUGAGUUAGUAGCAGAGCUGGAUGAGGACUCAGGGCCCUUGAUCUUCCCAACCAGCAUCUCUGAUGACAGACGCAACAGCUAAGGGAGACGCGGCAAGGCCAGAGUGUCCUCCAUACCAGUGUCCCGGGGCAGGGGGCCAUGGUCUGCCCAGGGUCUUGUGUGCGAUUUGUUUAGGCGUUGGCUUUCAGAGGUUUUCAUUGAUGUUUCUUGCUCCACUUUCCCUUCUGAUUAGUGUGAGGGACGAGGGUCCAGAGAUAUUGAACUCGAAGCAUGUCACCUCCUCCUGUGACCUGCCAGCUGAGGGACCACGGAGCUGCUGUUCUGGUCACCCUUUGCUGGUCCCCAUUGUGUGGCAUGAAAUGUGCGACAGAGAAGUGCCAUGAACCCUAAUGAAAGAUGUCACUGGCUGGGCAUGGUGGCUCACCCCUGUAAUCCCAGCCCUUUGGGAGGCCAAGGCGGGUAGAUCAUGAGGUCAGGAGUUCAAUACCAGCCUGACCAACGUGGUAAAACCUUGUCUCUACUAAGAAUAUAAAAAUUAGCUGGGCGUGGUGGCAUGCACCUGUAAUUCCAGCUACUCAGGAUGCUGAGGCAGGAGAAUUGCUUGAACCUGGGAGGCAGAGGUUGUGGUGAGCUGAGAUUGCACUACUGCACUCCAGCCUGGGUGACAGAGCAAGACUUCAUCUCAAAAAAAAAAGAGAGAGAGAGAGAGAUGCCACUAUAUACCGUGACUAUGUGUAUCUGGUGUCUGGCCACCAACGCUGGGACAGAUGGAGCUCCUUUGAGCAGUUCCAUCACUGCCAUUGAUAACACGAGCCCACGUUUGUCCAGGCCCUGCGGGUUUACUCAUUUCAUUGAAUCCUAUGCCACCCUGUAAGAUGGGGGAUCAUAAGGUUGCUAUUUCCUUUUUGUUGUCUGUUUUGAGAUGGAGUCUCACUCUGUUGCCAGGCUGGAGUGCAGGUGGUGCAAUCUCAGUUCACUGCAACCUCUGUUUCCCAGGUUCAAGUGAUUCUUCUGCCUCCGCCUCUCCAGUAGCUGGGAUUGCAGGCACACGCCACCAUGCCUAGCUUAUUUUUGUAUUUUUAGUAGAGAUGGGGUUUCACCAUGUUGGCCAGGCUGGUCUCAAAUUCCUGACCUUAGGUGACCUCACAAAGUGCUAGGAUUAUGGAUGUGAGCCACUGCACCUGGCCAGGUUGCUGUUACUCCCGUGUUACAGCUGAGGAAACAGGUUCAGAGAGAAUUGAGCCAUGUGUUGCAGCAAAGGAUGGAGUUAGGAUUCGAAGUGAGAUCUGGUUCCAGAACCUUGACACUGUACUGUUGAAGGGUUCUUCUUGACCUUGGAGGUACUGGUAAAUAUUUGUGGAAUGGAUUAACUCUUUCAUGCAUGUCCGAAUCUUUGCUUUUCCUGGGUCCUCUGCUUUGCACACACUCCCUUCUCAGCUUCCUCCUUCUGCUAGCAGGGACUCUUCGUGUCUCAGCUGCUGCCUCCCUCUGGGAGGCUUCCCUGACCCUGUAGGCUGGGUCAGUCGCCUUCCUGGGCUCCUGUGACCUCCUGUGCUUCUCCCAGUUGGGGAUCCUAGAAAUUGCAGUUUUUGUUGACAAUCUGUCUCCCUCAUUAGGGUACUCUCUCCUGAGUAUCCAAUGACCUGGGAUUGCUGAUUAUGACGGAGGGCAACAUAAACCCUUUCUUGGCCAUCGUGAUGAAGCCUCAGAGCUUCCUCUGACCUUGGCACCUCACCUGCCAUCUGCCAUUUUGGCCUGGCAUGUGCUGGCUGAUGGAGGACAUGGGAUCUGGGCUGGGUCCUGUCCUCAGCCCUGCCCUGGUGGUUGUGACCUGGCUGAUGGGGCAGGGCUGGGUGGUGACACUGGUGACAUCCUGGGGGAAGGGCUUAACCACAGGCUCUUCCUGGACAUCUCAAGGUCCAGUUCUAGGUGGGACACCAAGGGGAACGUUGGUGGUGGGGUCUCAAACAGGCCCAGGGUAGGGGUCCAGGCCUGAGGAGUCACCUGCCAAUGUGCAUGAGCCACAGCAAACCACCCUGGUUCCCAGUCCAGCCUCAGCCUUGGACGUGGCUGACAGAGAGAUUAUGAGCACCUGGGGACAGGCGGCGUGGGGAUGCUCCUCUGGAGCCUGGGGCAGUUUUGACAGGUGGCUGGCUGAGACUCAGGCUCCCAUGGGGGUGGUGAGGAUGGCAAGAAAGGAAUGAAGGUCAGAGAUGUUGCUGAGAAACCAACAGGAAUGGGCGACUCCAUGUGAGGGGAGGGGAGGGGAGGGGAUGGGGAAGGGAGGGGAAGGUCUGCACAAUUCCUGUCAUAGAUCAGCCUCCUCCUCGGGCGUGGCCUCGGU
Non-coding RNA from Callithrix jacchus (white-tufted-ear marmoset), 21808 nucleotides. The record is from RefSeq and is a predicted model, not a curated record. NCBI's taxonomy places the organism in Eukaryota, Metazoa, Chordata, Mammalia, Primates, Cebidae.